Molecule: long non-coding RNA, 319 nt
Organism: Exaiptasia diaphana
Lineage: Eukaryota; Metazoa; Cnidaria; Anthozoa; Actiniaria; Aiptasiidae
Exons: 2
Source: RefSeq, a predicted model, not a curated record
AGAGAUCCAACAUUCAAUCGCUUCUAUUAUCGCCAGACUUAUUCAAGCUCUUUUGGCAGGGCAGUCCUGUCAUAGGUGGUUGACAGAUUGGACAUUUCUGACAUUACAGAACGUCACAUUUUCGUUAUUGUUGCAAUAAACAUUUCAUUCCAUCUUUUGUGGGUAUUUAAUUGUGACUGAUAAAAGUUCAAAUGGUCGCUGUCCUAGUUUAGGUGCAUGGCCUUAUGGCAUGCUGUUUCCAUAUAUGGACUAGUGAUCCUUAUUUAGCAGCUAGUUUCGCGCUCUUUCUCUUUUAUUAAAUAAAUAAGCUUUUAAUGAC